AGCAGUGGUGAAGGUUCACGCGCUGGAUGACCGCGUCUUCUGUGGUCCUCUCCACCACUCCACUUUCGUUCGUUCAUUCAUUCGUUCAUUUCCCUUUCGUUGCGCCAGUCGCUGCGCCGGCUCUCGGGAUGAGCCGGAGCAGGCUCAACCCCUUGUCUCAAGGAGCUCGUGGUCGCGUAGAGAACACAAACUAGGACAGUGUGGUGUCCGUGGGGAAAGAGUCAGGCAUGGUUAUUCCCAUCUUAAAGGAGGGACCUGGGGCCACCUUAGAACCAAAAGUGACGCCCAAGAUGUGCAUUAAAGCUCCGGGGACCAGGGUCCCGCCCCACUGCAGCGGUUUCCAAGGAUUUCAGAGAAACUUUUUGUUUUCCAUGUCAAAUGUGGGCUAUUAAAAAUAAAUCAGGAGCACACGUCUUCCCUCUCUUUGCACCUGAUGCUUUUGAACUGAAGUUCAUCAGCACUGAAUGAGCACUUGCUAGUCACCCAACUUUGUGCUGGAGGGUGAAGAGAUGGCCAUGGAUAGAAAAUCCCUCCCCUCCAGGCGUUGAGAUUCCGUGGGAGUCUCUCGUUGCCACCUCAGUGUUUCCACCUCCAUGCUUCCAAGAAGGAGGAGGCUACCAGGGCCAGAGACAGGGAAUGGGGCACGGAGAAGGUAGGUCAGCUCGCCUUUGAAGAAGCCCUAAGAUGGGCUGUGGCCACCACUUCCCCAGUCCCCAACCCUGCCAGUGGAUUGUCUUCCAAAAGAAAAAAAGCUGUAUUUAGUAGAAGAGAGCCCUAUCUUCUGUCCAGGUAAUAUGGAUUGAA
Molecule: long non-coding RNA, 804 nt
Filed under: Homo sapiens (human)
Lineage: Eukaryota; Metazoa; Chordata; Mammalia; Primates; Hominidae
Description: non-protein coding lnc-HTR2B-2:1
Source: RNAcentral